CCCUCUUGGCUUGUCACCUUGGGCAACAACCUCUCCCCUCUCUCUCCCCUCCCUCUCCCUAUUUUCGGUACAUCCUGGAACGACACUGUAUGGACCAAUGUUGUCCUAAACCAAUCACUGGCCAUACGACCUCUGGUACCGAUUCAUCAAACCUUGUACAAAGCAAUAAGUUAUGUUCUUUCCUUCCCUUUCAUUAUCUAUCUUGUCCUAAAAGUUUCAUGAAAGCAAGCUCACUUUUGCAUCCAAGACUCCUUGAGCCUACAAAAAACAAAGCAAUCCCCUCAAUCCACCCUCACUCCCACACCACUUUAGCUCUCAUUGUGAGCCAUUGAUGCAACACAAGGUGCAGCCAGCAAGCACCAUGACUAGGUAGAUCAUGCCAAGCAUCGUAGAAGCCAUUGGAUUCCCAAGCGAAGACUUUAAUAAGCAAAUAUUUGAUUUAUUUUCAUCCCAUGAGCAAGCAUGCGAGCGACAGGAUCUUAUGGAUUUUUUGAUUAGGGACUAUUGAAUUUUAGUCAGGAUUCCAUAUUUAUAGUACAAUAACUCUAGCAUAUUUUCAUAUUCUCGAGUCCUAUUAAGAGUAUGAUUCUCUAUCAGUUUAAAUGCCCGAAUCAGGGUUAGGGAUCAUAUUCUAUAAAAUAUAAAUACGCAUCUAAUGCAUUGUAAGGGGUAGCCUUUU
This 679-nucleotide long non-coding RNA is filed under the name Phoenix dactylifera (date palm). RNAcentral's name for it is "long non-coding RNA (PDAC_LNC018512)". The record is from RNAcentral. Lineage: Eukaryota; Viridiplantae; Streptophyta; Magnoliopsida; Arecales; Arecaceae.